CUAAGCCUAAGGACACAGCGAAGCAGAAGAAAGCACCAGUUGAAAACAGGGUGCCUGUAAUCAUGCAGCCUAGUGAGAAGAAGACACACGCAGCUAUACAACAGCUAAGGCUGAUAAAACACGAGAAGGCAAUGCCUUAAUCACACAGCAGCCAGCUCUACUGCCAGCCGUUGUUCUGCCUCUUUCUCAUGAUUUCCUUGUAUCCUCGCAGGCAAAGAAGAAGAAAAUUAAGGAACAACAGAAGAAAAAAGCAUACGAGGCAGAGAAAGCCAAGACCGAGCUACUGACGAAGAAGCGCCAGAGGGAAGAGAGGCGUGUGAGAUACCGGGAAGAAGAUAAGCAGAAGAAACGUGCACGCAGAUGAGGCGAGGAACGGGGUAUGUGCACCAGGAACUCAGCAGCAACCGGGCAUGCUCUCUUGUGC
RNAcentral lists this long non-coding RNA (424 nucleotides) under Zea mays. RNAcentral describes it as "long non-coding RNA (ZMAY_LNC001191)". Lineage: Eukaryota; Viridiplantae; Streptophyta; Magnoliopsida; Poales; Poaceae. The record is from RNAcentral.